Molecule: ribosomal RNA, 1305 nt
Filed under: metagenome
Description: SSU rRNA
Rfam family: Eukaryotic small subunit ribosomal RNA
Source: RNAcentral
CGUCUGGUAAUUGGAAUGAGUACAAUUUAAAUCCCUUAACGAGGAUCAAUUGGAGGGCAAGUCUGGUGCCAGCAGCCGCGGUAAUUCCAGCUCCAAUAGCGUAUAUUAAAGUUGCUGCAGUUAAAAAGCUCGUAGUUGAAUUUCUGGUACGAUGUGCCUGGUCCACGGUCGCAAGGCCGCGCGUAUCGGAGUACGUCUGCCAUCCUUCUAGUUAACUGGCUAUACUUAACUGUGUGGUCAGCAACCUAGAUCUUUUACUUUGAAAAAAUUAGAGUGUUUAAAGCAGGCUCGCGCUGUGAAUACAUUAGCAUGGAAUAAUAAUUUAGGACUUUGCUUCUAUUUUAUUGGUUUCUAGGGGUAAAGUAAUGAUUGAUAGGGAUAGUUGGGGGUGCUAGUAUUCAUCGGCCAGAGGUGAAAUUCUUGGAUUCGAUGAAGACUAACUUAUGCGAAAGCAUUCACCAAGGAUGUCUUCUUUAAUCAAGAACGAAAGUUGGGGGAUCGAAGACGAUCAGAUACCGUCGUAGUCUCAACCAUAAACUAUACCGACUAGGGAUUAGUGGAAGUUGCUAUAUCGACUCCAUUAGCACCUUAUGAGAAAUCAGAAGUCUUUGGGUUCUGGGGGGAGUAUGGUCGCAAGGCUGAAACUUAAAGGAAUUGACGGAAGGGCACCACCAGGAGUGGAGCCUGCGGCUUAAUUUGACCCAACACGGGGAAACUUACCAGGUCCGGACAUAGUGAGGAUUGACAGAUUGAAGUUCUUUCUUGAUUCUAUGGGUGGUGGUGCGUGGCCGUUCUUAGUUGGUGGAGUGAUUUGUCUGGUUAAUUCCGUUAACGAACGAGACCUCGACCUGCUAAAUAGUAUGACGUAGGCUCUGUCUAUGGACAUGACUUCUUAGAGGGACUGUCGGUUUUUAGCCGAAGGAAGUUCGAGGCAAUAACAGGUCUGUGAUGCCCUUAGAUGUUCUGGGCCGCACGCGCGCUACACUGAUACGUGCAUCGAGCUUACAACCUUGGCUGGGAGGCCUGGGUAAUCUUUGAAAAGCGUAUCGUGCUGGGGAUAGAUUAUUGUAAUUAUUAAUCUUCAACGAGGAAUUCCUAGUAAGCGCGAGUCAUCAACUCGCACUGAUUACGUCCCUGCCCUUUGUACACACCGCCCGUCGCUGCUACCGAUUGAAUGCAUUAGUGAGCUUGAGGGAUCGUUUAGCUUGAGGGUCAAACUUCGAGUUAAGUGAGAACUCACGCAAACUUGCGCAUUUAGAGGAAGCAAAAGUCGUAACAAGGUUUCCGUAGGUGAACCUGCGGAAG